UGAGCGGUAGCAACCUGAGAUCUAAAUCAUAGACUGUGCUCGGAGAAGUCUAUAUGGCAACACUUCUGGACAGGGGUUCGACUCCCCUCAUCUCCACCA
Molecule: transfer-messenger RNA, 99 nt
Filed under: Veillonella sp.
Lineage: Bacteria; Bacillati; Bacillota; Negativicutes; Veillonellales; Veillonellaceae
Description: partial transfer-messenger RNA
Rfam family: transfer-messenger RNA
About the family: Bacterial tmRNA, also known as 10Sa RNA or SsrA, is named for its dual tRNA and mRNA-like properties. Its role is to liberate the mRNA from a stalled ribosome.
Source: RNAcentral